GACGAACGCUGGCGGCGUGCUUAACACAUGCAAGUCGAACGGAAAGGCCCUGCUUUUGUGGGGUGCUCGAGUGGCGAACGGGUGAGUAACACGUGAGUAACCUGCCCUUGACUUUGGGAUAACUUCAGGAAACUGGGGCUAAUACCGGAUAGGAGCUCCUGCUGCAUGGUGGGGGUUGGAAAGUUUCGGCGGUUGGGGAUGGACUCGCGGCUUAUCAGCUUGUUGGUGGGGUAGUGGCUUACCAAGGCUUUGACGGGUAGCCGGCCUGAGAGGGUGACCGGCCACAUUGGGACUGGGAUACGGCCCAGACUCCUACGGGAGGCAGCAGUGGGGAAUAUUGCACAAUGGGCGGAAGCCUGAUGCAGCAACGCCGCGUGCGGGAUGACGGCCUUCGGGUUGUAAACCGCUUUCGCCUGUGACGAAGCGUGAGUGACGGUAAUUGGUAAAGAAGCACCGGCUAACUACGUG
Molecule: ribosomal RNA, 468 nt
Filed under: uncultured bacterium
Lineage: Bacteria
Description: partial 16S ribosomal RNA
Rfam family: Bacterial small subunit ribosomal RNA
Source: RNAcentral